GGACGUUGGAGGGGCGGCCGCAUGGAGUAAGUACUGUCUCUGGCCACCCAGCAGAGCCAGUGACAGUAGCGUCAUGGUAGGCAGGCAGGCGUAUCAGGUUUCAGAGGAUGCGGCUGGGAACGGGAGUAGAGGUGAGGGGACGUUGCAUCUGUCGCGGUGUGUAUCUUUUGGGGGUUCAGCGCCACCAGCGACCUGGGCCUCAUUCAUCGCGCUUACAUUUCUCCACCUCAUUUGAAGAACGAGCUUGGUAGCCCACGGAGCUGAGGUAUAUGAGCUCCCUGAAAGCACAAAGCAGUUAUUUCAAUCUUCAGAUCAUUCAGAGAUUAUGAAGGCACAAACCCUGCCUUCAAUUUGCUUAUAGUCAAGUGGAGCAGACACAAGUCAAUGAUGGCAGUAUAGCCACUUAAGUAAUCUAAAAGAGGUGGGGAGGCCACAGCUCAUGUGAAUGACUUUCUCAGGAGUUAUAAAGUGAUACAGACUUAUCAGCAGGUUGCAGGUGAACAUGGCCUUGAGAUGUUUUUCUUCUAAAUAAAUGAGAAAGAUGUUUCAACAAAGGCUCUUUAUGCUGAAUAAUUGUGAUGCUUGAAGUUGCUAAUCUGCUUUAAGUGGAUUUUAAAUGUCAGACAAUUCUAGACAGUUUUUUCUUGGUCAAAUAAAAAUUUAAUUAAAACUUUA
RNAcentral lists this non-coding RNA (675 nucleotides) under Pongo abelii (Sumatran orangutan). The record is from RNAcentral. Lineage: Eukaryota; Metazoa; Chordata; Mammalia; Primates; Hominidae.